AGACCAUUUUUAAAGGUUAGAAUGCUAAAAUCCUAAUACAUUUGUUACUUUUGUCUCACAUAAUGAUAACUGAGGGAAUUUUGCUUAUCAUUCACAAUCCUCAUGUGAGACAAGAAUAUGUUUUUCUUUUUUGAAUGCUCGCAAACGUCAGCUAACGAUGGAGCUCUAUUCCCCCUAUAAAGUGCUUUAAAAACAUCCAAACACCUCCAUCAAGGUUUUAUAUACACACUGUAAGUAUAUAUGUAGUAUCUGUUAACAAUCGUAAUAACAUGUAAUAUUUACAUUUUUAGCAUGCGGCUAUUAAUUUUACAGAGGCAUCACAACGUUCACUUUUCCUUCAACAACAACAAGACUACUAAUCAUGGCAGACUUAAUGAGCGGCAACAAGGACUAGUUUGGGACAAAUGAUGAUCCAGAAACUUCGAUUUCUGGAUUGGGGGCUAAAUGGAAGGUUUUAGCACUAUCCUGAACCCCCUCUGUCAAGUUUACGUGGCCUACCACUUGGUGGCUGAGUUGCUGUUGUUCCCAAACUCUUCACUUUUCUUAUUAAUAAAGCCGACAGUUGACUCCGGAAUAUUUAGGAGAGAGGAAAUUUCACGACUGGACUUGUUGCGCUGGUGGCAUCCUAUGACAGUUCCACGCUGGAAAUCACUGAAAGCGGCCCAUUCUUUCACAAAUGGUUGAAGAAACAGUCUCCAUGCAUACGUGCUUGAUUUGAUACACCGGGCCAAGUGAUUAGGACACCUAGUUGUCAUCAUUUGGGAUGUCUGGACAAAUAUUUUUGGCAAUAUAGUGCAUGAUGGCAGCAUUAAAGGCCUACUGUAAUGAGAUGUUCUUAUUUAAACGGGGAUAGCAGGUCCAUUCUAUGUGUCAUACUUGAUCAUUUCGCGAUAUUGCCAUAUUUUUGCUGAAAAGAUUUAGUAGAGAACAUCGAUGAUAAAGUUUGCAACUUUUGGUCGCUAAUAAAAAAGCCUUGCCUGUACCGGAAGUAGCAGACGAUGUGCGUGUGACGUCACGGGUUGUGGAGCUCCUCACAUCUGAACAUUGUUUACAAUCAUGGCCACCAGCAGCGAGAGCGAUUCGGACCGAGAAAGGGACGAUUUUCCCAUUAAUUUGAGUGAGGAUGAAAGAUUUGUGGAUGAGGAAAGUGAGAGUGAAGGACUAGAAAAAAAACAAAAACUAGACGGCAGAUUGAUUUACUAGGAUAAUUCUGGAAAAUCCUUUAUCUGCUUAUUGUGUUGCUAGUGUUUUAGUGAGAUUAUUAUGGUAUUAUGGUACUUGAAUGUUGGAGGGGUGUGGUGACCGCCAGUGUCUCCGAGGGUAGCCACGUUUCUCGAUGAGGCGAAGGCAGCCAGUGGGGCCGGGCUAAGAUUUUAAUUUUUUUUCCCUCCUCCAUGGUGGAAGCCUCCAACAGUCAGGGGCGGCCGGUGGGAGGAGGCAAGAGAGUCCGCAGCUGCUUCUUUGACUGGUGCAGGAGGAACGACACAAGCUCUCUGCUCAUGUCUACGCCAAGUCCCCGGCGCAAAAGGGAGUCCAACCACCUUGAGCGUGCCCACCUGUGUGUCCUGCCAGCUCCCGGGUGAUGUGCACGCUGCCCUCGGGGGUUCUCAGGCUGUAGAUGGAGCAGAUGUUGUCCAGACCUCCGCAGGCCACAAAGUUGCUGGAGGGGGCGUAGGCACACGUCAUCACCCAGGAGGAUCGCAGCGGGAUGGCGUGGAGCUGGGGAGGAAGACCAGGACUUGCUGUGCCAGGGCUUUGAAAAGAAUAAGGAGGAGCUCUCAGACCUUGUUGGUGGUGUGGCUGUCCCAGAUGAUCAGCUUCCCAUCCUGCGAGGCGCUGACCAGGAGCCUGGAAGACAGCGAGGACAAGGAUGAAGUGCUGCACAGAUGUUUCUGGAUUCUGAGUCCAUGGGGAAGGCAAAGGAAUUGUCAAAGGAUCUGCGAGCAAAGCCCUUUUCUACCUUCAAGGUACUCAAAGCACUAUUCACCCAUUCACACACACUGAUGGCGGGAGCUGCCAUGCAAGGCCCCAUCAGGAGCGAGGGUGAAGUGUCUUGCUCAAGGACACAACGGACAUGACGAGUGCUUCGUCGUGCUUCUGACUGCUCUACUGGGAUUUGUUUGUUGUCUGCGGUGCAUGCAGCCUUUGCAAAAGGACAAACCAAGGUGGCGUCGACAUGACCAGGAGUCCCAACAUCCAGAUCGUCGAGGAAAUAACCCUGCCUGGUGAGUCCAGUAAGACUGGUUAGCACCACUUCCUUCCUGGCAGCCAUUCAAUGAGCGUUAAUUAUAUAAGACAGGACAACUAUGAGGAAAAUACACUUACAUAACAACGUACAGUCGGGACGUAAAAAAAAACAACGCUGUAUUGACAAAUUUCCCACGAUUAAGAUGACUGUAAAACCCCGAUUGAGAACCGGUGACACUGCAUGCUAGCGCCAGCUUAAAUGCUACCGGAAAAAACGAGAAACAUUAACGCCUUUUCCCUUUGAAGUCUAAACCUGUACCAGCUGAAUGUGUUCAGACUGUGUUGUCUUCAGGCAACCUUUUUGGCUGAGAAAGCCAUGAAGGCCAAAUAUUUAAAAAACUUAUUUCCGUGAGAGCCAUAUAAUAUUUUGGUAAUACUUUGAUAUCUGCGGGCUAUAGAGCGUUUUCCGUUCGGGCUCCAGUACUCUGGAAUGCCCUCCCGGUAACAGUUCGAGAUGCUACCUCAGUAGAAGCAUUUAAGUCUCACCUUAAAACUCAUCUGUAUACUCUAGCCUUUAAAUAGACCUCCUUUUUAGACCAGUUGAUCUGCCGCUUCUUUUCUUUCUCCUAUGUCCCCCCCUCCCUUGUGGAGGGGGUCCGGUCCGAUGACCAUAGAUGAAGUACUGGCUGUCCAGAGUCGAGACCCAGGAUGGACCGCUCGCCUGUGUAUCGGUUGGGGACAUCUCUACGCUGCUGAUCCGCUUGAGAUGGUUUCCUGUGGACGGGACUCUCGUUGCUGUCUUGGAUCCGCUUGAACUGAACUCUCGCGGCUGUGUUGGAGCCACUAUGGAUUGAACUUUCACAGUAUCAUGUUAGACCCGCUCGACAUCCAUUGCUUUCGGUCCCCUAGAGGGGGGGGUUGCCCACAUCUGAGGUCCUCUCCAAGGUUUCUCAUAGUCAGCAUUGUCACUGGCGUCCCACUGGAUGUGAAUUCUCCCUGCCCACUGGGUGUGAGUUUUCCUUGCCCUUUUGUGGGUUCUUCCCAGGAUGUUGUAGUCGUAAUGAUUUGUGCAGUCCUUUGAGACAUUUGUGAUUUGGGGCUAUAUAAAUAAACAUUGAUUGAUUGAUUGAUUGAUUGAUAUGGGGAACAUAUUCACCAUUAAUUAAUUGCUUAUUAACAUGCAAAUUCGUAACAUAUUGGCUCUUAAUUUGUCAUGUUUAAGUACUUAUUAAUACCUUUUUCUGCAUGGCCUUAUUUUACAAGCAGUAAGCCAUUAACU
This is a long non-coding RNA of Nerophis ophidion (straightnose pipefish), 3466 nucleotides long. RefSeq lists it as uncharacterized. Lineage: Eukaryota; Metazoa; Chordata; Actinopteri; Syngnathiformes; Syngnathidae. The transcript is spliced from 6 exons. The record is from RefSeq and is a predicted model, not a curated record.